UCCAUCGUGAGGUGGAAUCUAAAGGAAGCCGUAAGCAAAGUCCUGAACCGACGAACAGAAACCGCAUAUAAGGCUGAAUCAGGGUGGACGAGUUUGCUUAAUAAAACAAAGUCCAAUACUACCCGAACCCUGUACAGUAAAUGCGGCGGUUACAUGGGAUGAAGGUUGUUGUU
Dehalobacter sp. CF is the source of this 173-nucleotide non-coding RNA. NCBI's taxonomy places the organism in Bacteria, Bacillati, Bacillota, Clostridia, Eubacteriales, Desulfitobacteriaceae. The record is from Rfam.